This 148-nucleotide ribosomal RNA is filed under the name uncultured bacterium. RNAcentral describes it as "partial 16S ribosomal RNA". It matches the Rfam family "Bacterial small subunit ribosomal RNA", at positions 372 to 535 of the family's 1533-position model. The record is from RNAcentral.
AGGGGGCAAGCCUGACCCAGCAACGCCGCGUGAGGGAAGAAGGCUUUCGGGUUGUAAACCUCUGUCCUUGGUGACGAAAAAAAUGACGGUAGCCAAGGAGGAAGCCCCGGCUAACUACGUGCCAGCAGCCGCGGUAAUAAAGGAGCCA